This is a small nuclear RNA of Diceros bicornis minor, 103 nucleotides long. Lineage: Eukaryota; Metazoa; Chordata; Mammalia; Perissodactyla; Rhinocerotidae. The record is from RefSeq and is a predicted model, not a curated record.
UCACUUCAGCAGUGUAUAUACUAAGAUUGGAAUGAUAUAGAGUAGAUUAGCAUGGCUCCUGUGCAGGGAUGACGUGCAGAUUCAUGAAGCGUUCCAUAUUUUG